GACGAACGCUGGCGGCGUGCUUAACACAUGCAAGUCGAACGGAAAGGCCCUGCUUUUGUGGGGUGCUCGAGUGGCGAACGGGUGAGUAACACGUGAGUAACCUGCCCUUGACUUUGGGAUAACUUCAGGAAACUGGGGCUAAUACCGGAUAGGAGCUCCUGCUGCAUGGUGGGGGUUGGAAAGUUUCGGCGGUUGGGGAUGGACUCGCGGCUUAUCAGCUUGUUGGUGGGGUAGUGGCUUACCAAGGCUUUGACGGGUAGCCGGCCUGAGAGGGUGACCGGCCACAUUGGGACUGAGAUACGGACCAGACUGCUAAGGGAGGCAGCAGUGGGGAAUAUUGCACAAUGGGCGGAAGCCUGAUGCAGCAACGCCGCGUGCGGGAUGACGGCCUUCGGGUUGUAAACCGCUUUCGCCUGUGACGAAGCGUGAGUGACGGUAAUGGGUAAAGAAGCACCGGCUAACUACGUG
RNAcentral lists this ribosomal RNA (468 nucleotides) under uncultured bacterium. RNAcentral's name for it is "partial 16S ribosomal RNA". It matches the Rfam family "Bacterial small subunit ribosomal RNA", at positions 28 to 507 of the family's 1533-position model. The record is from RNAcentral.